RNAcentral lists this transfer-messenger RNA (81 nucleotides) under Betaproteobacteria bacterium. RNAcentral's name for it is "partial transfer-messenger RNA". It matches the Rfam family "transfer-messenger RNA", at positions 1 to 84 of the family's 374-position model. Rfam says of the family: Bacterial tmRNA, also known as 10Sa RNA or SsrA, is named for its dual tRNA and mRNA-like properties. Its role is to liberate the mRNA from a stalled ribosome. Lineage: Bacteria; Pseudomonadati; Pseudomonadota; Betaproteobacteria. The record is from RNAcentral.
GGGGCUGCACUGGUUUCGACAUGGGUUCGGACGCGUGGCAGGGCAUGUCGAGGUUCUGAUCCUCGUAAAACAGCAGAAAAA